GUGUUUGCUCUGGCAACACAUAUACUAAAAUUGGAACACGACAGAGAAGAUUAGCAUGGCCCUUGCGCAAGGAUGACAGGCAAACUCAUGGGGCAUUCUGUAUUUUU
Molecule: small nuclear RNA, 107 nt
Organism: Suricata suricatta (meerkat)
Lineage: Eukaryota; Metazoa; Chordata; Mammalia; Carnivora; Herpestidae
Source: Ensembl